UACGAAGGGAGGUAGCGUUGUUCGGAAUCACUGGGCGUAAAGCGCACGUAGGCGGAUUUGUUAGUCAGGGGUGAAAUCCCGGGGCUCAACCUCGGAACUGCCUUUGAUACUGCAAAUCUCGAGUCCGGAAGAGGUGGGUGGAAUUCCUAGUGUAGAGGUGAAAUUCGUAGAUAUUAGGAAGAACACCGGUGGCGAAGGCGGCCCACUGGUCCGGUACUGACGCUGAGGUGCGAAAGCGUGGGGAGCAAACAGG
RNAcentral lists this ribosomal RNA (253 nucleotides) under uncultured bacterium. RNAcentral's name for it is "partial 16S ribosomal RNA". It matches the Rfam family "Bacterial small subunit ribosomal RNA", at positions 524 to 776 of the family's 1533-position model. The record is from RNAcentral.